Molecule: long non-coding RNA, 444 nt
Organism: Melanaphis sacchari
Lineage: Eukaryota; Metazoa; Arthropoda; Insecta; Hemiptera; Aphididae
Exons: 3
Source: RefSeq, a predicted model, not a curated record
UUAAAUACGUUGACAUCUAUUGCAAUGAUAUAUUAUAGUAAUGGAGUAUGGAGUAAUACAAGACUUAGAAUAUUUACAAUUUGUAUCACAUCAUUUUAGUUUACAUACAUGAAAUAAUUAUAUAUUUUUGCAUUAUUAGUGGCAGAGUUUACAUGAACCCAAUUUUAUCUGUUUUUUUUCUGGCGGAUUUUACUGUAAAAAAGGUACUUGUGAGUUGUGACAGAGUUUACAUGCGCCAUGGUACGGAUGGUUAUGGAGUCUUGGUCACGACGUAAACUGUGGGUAUUUUAGCCAAUAGUUAAUAGCUAUUCCUCUGUUAUCGAGAAAUUGAGGUUGCAGUAACCGGGACCCACCUCUUCAACCAUAAAUCCGGUAAAGGAGAUAAUUGAAACAUUGAAUUAAAACACUAACCUCAAAAAUAUAAUACAAAUUACAAUAUAUUCC